GGACUACCGGGGUUUCUAAUCCUGUUUGCUCCCCACGCUUUCGUGCCUCAGUGUCAGUUAUUGCCCAGUAAGUCGCCUUCGCCACUGGUGUUCCUUCCGAUAUCUACGCAUUUCACCGCUACACCGGAAAUUCCACUUACCUCUACAACACUCUAGCUACGCAGUAUUAAGCGCAAUUCCCAGGUUGAGCCCGGGGCUUUCACACCUAACUUACGUAACCACCUACGCACCCUUUACGCCCAGUAAUUCCGAUUAACGCUCGCACCCUCUGUAUUACCGCGGCUGCUGGCAC
This 292-nucleotide ribosomal RNA is filed under the name uncultured bacterium. Its description in RNAcentral is "partial 16S ribosomal RNA". The record is from RNAcentral. RNAcentral also lists the same sequence under 1 other name.